CUGCGGAUGGGAAAUAGUCCCCCCUCUCUCCAUUUAUAAAUAGAAGUUUCCAAUAUCCUACUUGGAAGACUUUCCAAUACUGCAGGCCCAAGCAUUGACUGAUUUUAAGGGUCUGUUGAUAGUGACGAUAAGGCUAUCUAUUUGUAAAAACAGAGCAACUUGAAGGAGAAAGCAGAUAGAAGUGGGAAUUCUCCAACUGGUUAUUUCCUCUAUGCUCAGUUUCUAAGGGUUCUACCCCUUGCUUUCAUGAAAACAAAUGUUCCAUUUUUAUUCUGGGUUUGGGACAGGAAUGGGACAGUAAACUCUUCAGCUAUCGUUAGCUGAGCCUUAAAGAGUUCCAGUUAUUGGUUGAGUAAAUGGUAGCCAUAACUAGAUGUCAAAAUUCUUCCUUCCCUCUCUCCUUUGCUGGGUAGCCACACUCACAACCCACUUUGUUGUGAAAAAUUCAGAUUCACAGGAGGUGGUGCGGCAGCGCCACCCCUCGGUGGAUGAAACUUAUCUAUUUGCAAAAGUCAAAUAUUUGAAAAAUAUUGUGAAAUGACCUUAUGAGGAUUUUUUUUUUU
This 563-nucleotide long non-coding RNA is filed under the name Bos taurus (domestic cattle). RNAcentral's name for it is "long non-coding RNA NONBTAT000840". Lineage: Eukaryota; Metazoa; Chordata; Mammalia; Artiodactyla; Bovidae. The record is from RNAcentral.